RNAcentral lists this transfer RNA (73 nucleotides) under Diaphorina citri (Asian citrus psyllid). It matches the Rfam family "tRNA". From Rfam's summary of the family: Transfer RNA (tRNA) molecules are approximately 80 nucleotides in length. Their secondary structure includes four short double-helical elements and three loops (D, anti-codon, and T loops). The record is from Rfam by way of RNAcentral. Lineage: Eukaryota; Metazoa; Arthropoda; Insecta; Hemiptera; Psyllidae.
GCCUAGUUAGCUUAGUUGGUAGUGCGUCUGCCUUGUAAGCGCUAGGCCGCGGGUUCGAUUCCCGUCAGGGGCG